Molecule: non-coding RNA, 225 nt
Organism: Caenorhabditis elegans
Lineage: Eukaryota; Metazoa; Nematoda; Chromadorea; Rhabditida; Rhabditidae
Source: Ensembl
ACAAUUUUAGAAUUUGCACCUGAAACAUCUUGCACACUAAAUGAAGAACGAGUUCGUGUGUUCGAAACAUACGGUUAUUCUAGGAUCUUAAAAAUAACCUCUAAAUCAUGAUGAUCUGGAUAUUGAUCUAGAUAACUCUUUGACUUAAAAUCUAGGACACAAUAUAUCCUCCUCACUACACAAAACCACCAAAAUAAGUGAGAAACUACCACUGUUAACAAAAAC